Molecule: RNA transcript, 4872 nt
Organism: Sitodiplosis mosellana (orange wheat blossom midge)
Lineage: Eukaryota; Metazoa; Arthropoda; Insecta; Diptera; Cecidomyiidae
Gene name: riboflavin transporter 2-like
Exons: 6
Source: RefSeq, a predicted model, not a curated record
UUUUGGCAUUUGGAAUUUCAUAAUUUUGAAGAUUUCAUUUCAUUUUUUUUACAUUUUUUCCAUUUUUUCAUGCGGUUCUGUUCAUAAAUUCCUCAUUUAAUUUAAGGGAUUUUUUAUUCUAGAUCAGAAAUAGAAGCAACACGUUGCUCAAUUCAAACAAUUCAAAAUCUCAAAAUAAGGCGGGUUCACAUCGACUACCCAUUUUCCAGCAAAAAAAAUGACAAUGAGUGGAAAUAUUCAGCAAUGUACAUCUACGAAUUGAAGAGUCAUUCACUGCCAUUCAAUGCCUAAUUCAGAAGAUUUUAUUAAACAAAACUACUAAAUGCUACCCUUUUUUUAAGGUUUUCAAGAAAAAAUUAUUAUUUUGCACGGAAUUUUGCAUUUCACAGUUUUUUUUAAUCUCAAUUUAGCUCAAUCUCAAAAAUAUGAUAUGACGUUUAUUUCUUGCUUAUGUUAGACAUAGAUUGUGAUUGGUUCAUGUUUUUGGUAGGUUUACAAGAAAUUAUGGCUUUUAAAUCAUAUAAAGAAUCCGUAUUUGCAAUGCUUUACUUAAAAUGAUAUGUAUUAAUGUGGAAAAAAGCUGAAAAAAAGGAACAACAAACAAAAGGAGAAAAAUCUCGAAAAUUGUAAUCAAUUCAUGGUUUUGGUAGUGGUUGUGUUGUCCAAACCCUUUCAAACUACUUCAAAUAAAAGGCGCCGUUCUUCGGAAAGAUGCGAUUAUUGUUCAUCAAUUCUUGCAUUUGGGCUUCAUUGACGCGAAUCGUGUAGAAAAUCGCUUCUUUCGAUGAGCCAAAGUCAACGGUGGGCUUGAUAUUUUGAGCAAAAGUCGUUGGCGGCUUGAAGUUCUGUCCAAAAUCAAUGGGAUCUUUGUUUGGUUCCAUUUUGACGGCUGCCGAUGCUUUAUCAUGAUCAUCAUUGUUGUUGGCCAAUGGUUGACCAGGCAUCACUUGUUUGCGGAACGGAUUGGGAGUCUUCAAACCACCGACUGAUGUAUGUUUUCCUAAGGCGUCCAAUAACAUCACGUCGACCAUUGUACCGAUGGCAUCCACUUGAUCGAUCGGUUCGGUAUGCUUACGCUUCAUGUGUGCAUCCAAGUCAGCGGCUGGCAUUUUGUUACGGCAAACACCACAUUGAACAUGCACUUUGCCUUCGUCUUUCGGUGGUUCGAUGCCCGAUGCACUCCUGACUGAUGUUGGUUUGCUGUCUAUCGCUUUAGCAUUGGCCUUGGAUGACAUUUCUGAUGCAACAUCCGAUAAUGGUGUGUAAAUAUCGUCAACAAUAUCCGAAUGUACCUUUGCAUGGUGCUUUUUUAAUCGGCUCUCCAAUAUCUUUGACCGACAAAUUUCGCAAUGAAACAGUUUUUCAACCAUUUUCCACCACUUGAGAUUUUGAGUUGAACACAAAGUUAUUCGUGUGAAAAUACAAUUUUCAGCCUUUUUCCGUGAACUGUGUGCGGCUUUAUUCGUGCAAAUGUUUAUCUGUCAACUUGCGAGAGAGGAAUGUAAUACGAGAAAAAAAAGGGCUGUCAAAUUCAUUAACCGAGAUGGAGCUCGUAUGCAAAUUUUUUCAGUUUGACAGUUCGCAUAUUCGUUAGUUUUGUGCAACCACUUUUAAGAGCAAAUUUUCAGCAUGGAAUAUUCCAUUGGUUUUCUUUGUCAUAAACAAAGCCACUUUGACACUUCAUCGACAAUGUGCACACUGUCGCCGGUCGUAAUGUAAACAUUUCGCUGUGAAUGAGAAGAAAAAAUUGGCCACUCAGCAAGAAUGGGAAACAAAAGGAAAGAUCAAAUGGAAAGAGCAGAGGCAGCAAGAAAUUAAAUAUUCGGAAACUGUGCGAAUCGACUCCAAAUUCCAAUCAGAGGCUAGCGAUCGUUUUUCAUUGGAACAUCUAAUUUGGAAUCGGACAUCAAUCGUAUGUCUCGGAAAAAUCAAAUAUGAAUUUGCUAUCGUCGAUACAAACCUUGUUUACUGUGAUCACUGUCACAAUUUCAUGUUUGAAAAUGAGUGAUACACAAAAGUAUGUUCCACCAUCGGACAUGAACAUGGGCCCCAAGUCGAAUGCACAUCAGAAGCGGAAUUUGUUUGUGGACGCAUUGGCGCUGUUAUUUGGAAUGAGCUCAUGGCUUGGUGUAACGUCUUCAUACCUCCAAUUGCCAUUGAUAAUAUCGACGAUGCCUGAGGGCUGGUCGAUGCCUGCCUACAUGACUGUGGUCGUGCAAAGCUCCAACAUCAUUUCCUUUGCUUAUGUUUUCUACCAAAAAUACGCACCAAAAAAACUGAACGAUGCUUAUUUAAUUUACUUCACCAUGUCCAUGGGCUGCUUAACGGCAAUUGGAAUGGCGUUUUUCUACCAAAAUACAAUCACCAUCAACGGCAAAGAGCAUAGUAUUGCUUACCUAAUAUUUGUGUUUCUGUUUGCGACCGUGGGAACGGUGAGCUCCGUUCUAUUUUUGCCGUUCAUGGGUCGUUUCCGCGAGUGUUACCUUGUAUCUUACAUGUGUGGCCAGGGUAUGAAUGGCCUAUUCACCAGUAUUUUAACAUUAAUCCAGGGGAUUGGCGUGCCUGAAUGCAUACCAGACACCGAUGGAAAACUCAUUAAAUACAUUCCACCGGCCCGUUUUGGGACACAAACAUUCUUCCUGUUGGUAUUCGGAUUAUUGUUGAUCAGCACUAUCGCCUUCAUUUUGCUAAACAAAAUGGAAGUGUGCAAAAAAGAAUUGGCCGCCGGCAUUGUAAUGGAAGGCAAUGAAUAUUAUUACGAAAACGAAGACAGACAUGAUGUUGCAACUGGUGAAGUCCCAGAAAAUGUACUGAAUUUGUCCACUUUCAACUACGUCAAGUUACUCUCAGCCAUGGUUCUGAUUGGAUUUUUUGGCAAUGGCAUUUUCCCUGGGCUACAAUCUUAUUCAUCACUUCCGUAUGGAUUUUUGAUUUAUCAUCUCGUUGCGUCACUCGCUUCCAUUGGAAAUGCCAUCGGCAGCUUCAUCGCUCAAUUUGUUCCACAUACUUCGAUUCGCAUUCUGGACUUUCUCAUCGUCAUUGUCAUCGUACUCGGUGUUUACAUUUUCUAUGCUGCUGUUAAAAACCCAUUUCCACCAUUUCUUCACACGGAAUUUGGACCCGUUUUUAUGAUUAUCCAGUGGAUGUUCUUUAUCGGUAUUCAAAGCUAUAUGAAAACGUCGAUUGCUACCAUUUUCCGCUAUCAAGAAGGCAAAUCUCUGGUUCUCAUGGCAUCCACCAGUCUCGUUUGCUCUGUCGUCGGAUCCAUUUUUAACCUUUUCAUCGUUACCUACACGCAAUUGUUCGUCUCGUAUGAACCAUGCUAAGCUAAAAUUCUCAACAAUCGAAUAGGUGUGGUUUUGCUUGGGGCAAAAAUCUAUUUUUUUAUUUUCGAAGUAGAAAAAAAAAUUAUGAAUUCAUAAGUAAUGUUCCUAUAAUAUCCUAGUAAGGUAUUAAAAAUGUUGAAACAUAAAAUUGUAAGAGCCUCAUGUAAUGAUAGCACGAAUUCGUGUGAAACUUAUUCACACCAUUUCAAUUUUACUUUUCCAAUGGUUAAGGCAAUUUAGCACUCCAAAAAAUGUCAAUUUAGCUCAUUUUUAAUUUUCUUCAAAUUGAACUAAAUCAUAUCAUGUCAUUAUACAUAGAGUAAUUUAGUUUUAGAAGAAUAGUAUUCAAAAUGCGUUAUGUCAAGAAUUUUCUUUUUCGACUGAUCCGAGCCGAUCAAUGAAAUUUGUCAACGAUUGAGAUGAGCAAAAUCCGUAUUGUUCUAUAGAUUUAUAAAUUUGUUAUUAAAUUAAUAGGGAUUUUUUGCUAUUAACCAUUUUAUUAAAUUCAUAACAGAUUUGAUGAAAAAUAUUAUUUAGAAAAAAAAUCGGAAAAAGUGUCAUAUAAAAAGCAUGUCAGUUAUUUCAAGACGCAGUUUUCUUUGAGAUUUUGUCGUCUGGCAAAAACUUACACGACUUUUAUAUCAAACUUGUUUUCUCAAUUUUUUUCAAAUAAUAUUUUCCAUCAAAUCCGUUAUCAAUUCAAUAAUACCAACCAACAAAAAAAAUAUAUCGAAAUUUAAUAUUAUUGAAUGAGUAUUUGGGUUCCAUCUCUAGUCAAUGACGGCAUAAAACGUAUUUGUGCUUCUUAUUGGGUACGUUUUAUUCAUGAUCAUGUUGCAAUAUGAUGAUCGAAAAAAAAAAACAAAUUUCAUUCAGAGAUAUUUUUUCAAAAAACAUUAAUUUCCAAUCAUUCAGUCGCAAUGAACAUUUUUGUAGAAUUAAACACAUCAAUUGUCAAUUCAGGUUAUUCUUGACCUAUUUCAUUGAGAGAGGUAAUUCAAAGUGUCUACACGUAAUAAAUUAUUGUAUCAUCGUAACAGAUUCCAUAAAAAAAUAAAACACUGUUAUCAACUGAUUUCACACAGAUAAGAUAAAGCGUUGGUCUAGGUCUUAGUACUGAUCAACGUUAUGUUCUGAAUGAUGUAAUUGAAGUGAUAAGUCUUUUUGUAAUAAGAAUUAAGAAUAGUACCAAGUUAAAAUGUGUAUAAAAAAAAGACAGGUCCUACCAAAAAAAAUAGACCAAGUUAGAAAAUACAGGAAAAGGUGAAUUAUGUUGAAUAUAGCGAUAAUUAUUUGUUUCAAUUUGAUUUACACUGUGCUAUCCUGAUAAUGUUUAUUGUAAUAAUUGUCAAUGUCCAGACAAUCUGUGGCUCAAAACUACAUCUUUCCUUAUUAGGAAUUAUAUUCAUAAUUUUUUCCAUUAAUUCCUGAAUAUUUUUUUAAUAUUUCGAUGUGCUACCCAAAUCAUACCAUGUGUCGACAAAAAUUCAUGGACAAAAAUGUGCUGGUCCAAAAUAAAAUUAGAAGUAUUUUAAUGUUAAUAGAA